AAGGGAAGCUGAAGAAAUCAAAAACAGAGUUGAUGGCCUAUAACCAUAAAGGCCUUGACGACUGUAGAAGACUUGCAAUUGGGCACUCUAAACAGUUGUUUGAGAUAUACCAGAAGCAAGAAGAUUCUCUAUUCUUGAAUUGACAAAUAAUUUUCUUGUCAGAAAUUGGUCCUGAUUCUAAUUGUAGAUCCAAGCACCUAAUGCGUUUUAUUUUUUUUUUACCAUGCACAAGUAGAAUCCUAACGUGAUAGUUUUGAUCCUCACCUGAUAGUU
This 273-nucleotide unclassified non-coding RNA is filed under the name Hevea brasiliensis (rubber tree). Lineage: Eukaryota; Viridiplantae; Streptophyta; Magnoliopsida; Malpighiales; Euphorbiaceae. The record is from RNAcentral.